CGGUCCGGUCCGAAGUCAGUGGGUUACCCGCUAACCUUCGCGGUUGGUACCCCUCCCAUUGACGAUAACUUGACCGAAGU
RNAcentral lists this small RNA (80 nucleotides) under Caenorhabditis japonica. RNAcentral's name for it is "snoRNA CJA48982". It matches the Rfam family "Nematode sRNA ceN72-3_ceN74-2". The record is from Rfam by way of RNAcentral. Lineage: Eukaryota; Metazoa; Nematoda; Chromadorea; Rhabditida; Rhabditidae.